This is an RNA transcript of Paramormyrops kingsleyae, 1525 nucleotides long. It is a transcript of the gene named SET domain containing 9, with no coding region annotated. The record is from RefSeq and is a predicted model, not a curated record. NCBI's taxonomy places the organism in Eukaryota, Metazoa, Chordata, Actinopteri, Osteoglossiformes, Mormyridae.
UUUCGAACACAGCCCAAGUUUAUUCAGUGCAUUAUGUAUGCUGUCUUUAUAAGAAGUUUGAGUCACGGUCCAGUUAGCACAUCUGACCAAUACUUUACGUUACUGCCAAGCGGGUUCGUUUAUAGGUUGCUGGUCUGUAUGAAAUUGCUGCCCAGUUUCCCUUUUUAUUCUGACCUCAUCCGUUCUUGACUUCCAGGGUUGACAAGAGUGAAGCUAAAACGUAUACUUCAGUGUGUCCAUUCUACUUGUAAAAUAAUAUCUAUGCUCUUUUUCGCGGUGCAUCAUGGGAUUAAGGCUGAUACUCCAUAGUAUUUAUGGUCUUGCUCUUCGAUGGUUGCACACGUUUGUCCUCUCUUAGCUUUGGAGUUCGUAAACAAAUGACAUCCUCAAACUAUGUUGAAAAGCUGGUUAAAUGUAUUGCAAACCCGAUGGAAUUCGUACAAAUAUAGAUUUGUUCCGUGGAUAGCUGUAAACAUCUGUAAAAACGAGAGAACUCUCCGGCAGGUUCCACUGUGCUCCCUGGAUAAACUGGUUUCAGAUGAGGAGGUUCUACUCAACAUUACCAAGUUGUUCAGAGCCCUCUUCAGCAGUAACCUGGGUGACCAAAGGGACAUCCUGCAGACCCUUUCCUCAUCAUCCCAGACUGACUAUCAGGCUGCUGUUGGGGAAGAGGGUCCCUCAGACCCAUGCAGAGUCAUGUUUGACACGAUGGGCUUCGCGAUUGAACGGAGGCCCAGUUCUCUCCAGUCUGCAGGGACAGGUGUGUUCGUUGUCAUGGGAACAGUGCCGAAAGGAGCCACAGUAGCCAUGUACCCAGGCACUAUUUAUCAGAGAUACGAGCCUAUCUUCUUCCAGUCGGUCUGCAAUCCAUUUAUAUUUAGAUGUAUUGAUGGUGUUUUAAUUGAUGGCAAUGACAAAGGAAUUUCUAAAGCUGUAUACAGGUCAUGCAGUGGUAGGGACCGACUAGGGCCUAUUAAGCUCAGUGACACCACGUGGCUGACUGCCAAACCUUACAACCCCCUGGCAGUGGGUCAAUAUGUGAAUAAUUGCUCAAAUGGCAAACAAAGCUGCUAACGUGUGCUAUCAGGAAUUUGAUGUAUCUACGGGAUUUCCCAUAGAACUCUGCCAGUAUCUUCCCAAUGUAAAUUAUAGAAUGGAUAUGCCAAGGCCCUUAAGAUGUGUUGUUCUCGUGGCACUGAGAGCCAUUCACCCAGGAGAGGAACUUUUCUCUAACUAUUAUACAGUUGUACAUUAGGCCAUGCUUUACUGCUUUUGUAGUUAAUAAUAAUACUAUUGUAAUAUCAUUAUAUAUAAUAACCAUGGUUGUAGAUUAUAUCAAUUUUUCCAAAGCAAUGACUUAAUCAUUUUUAACAUAUUAGCCUAGUACAUUUCUUUAUAUUACAAAGAAAGUCAUUUUGGCAGUGUUACUGUUCACUUUAAAUGCAGAGUAUAAUCUCAGUAUUAAUAUUUAUUAUGGAUCUAAAAUUCAGAGAUGUACAGCAUUAAACAUAAAUGUUUAAUGGAA